AUACGGAGGAUCCGAGCGUUAUCCGGAUUUAUUGGGUUUAAAGGGUGCGCAGGCGGGAGAUUAAGUCGGCGGUGAAAUUUUGCAGCUCAACUGUAAAAGUGCCUUCGAAACUGGUUUCCUUGAGUGUAGAUGAAGUAGGCGGAAUUUGUGGUGUAGCGGUGAAAUUCAUAGAUAUCACGAGGAACUCCGAUUGCGCAGGCAGCUUACUAAACUACUACUGACGCUCAGGCACGAAGGCGUGGGGAUCAAACAGGAUUAGAUACCCUGGCAGUCCACGCAGUAAACGAUGAUUACUAGCUGUUUGCGAUACAAUGUAAGCGGCUGAGCGAAAGCGUUAAGUAAUCCACCUGGGGAGUACGUUCGCAAGAAUGAAACUCAAAGGAAUUGACGGGG
RNAcentral lists this ribosomal RNA (393 nucleotides) under uncultured bacterium. RNAcentral's name for it is "partial 16S ribosomal RNA". It matches the Rfam family "Bacterial small subunit ribosomal RNA", at positions 523 to 918 of the family's 1533-position model. The record is from RNAcentral.